RNAcentral lists this long non-coding RNA (367 nucleotides) under Callithrix jacchus (white-tufted-ear marmoset). RNAcentral describes it as "lncRNA (ENSCJAG00000081321.1)". The record is from RNAcentral. Lineage: Eukaryota; Metazoa; Chordata; Mammalia; Primates; Cebidae.
UUUCACAGGAGGCCACUGAGUGUGAAGGAAGGGAUGUCAGUGUGCAGCUACCUCCAGAACACUACAGGUUGCCAGAGUUUCACUCCCACAAUUUGGGGUUAAGAUACGGAGCAGAUGCAAGGCGAAGAAAAGGAGAAUCUCUGCUACAGAUGUCCUGGGUAAGACACAACAUGGUACCAGUUAACUCAAUGAUUUUUUUACUGCUGGGAAAGUGGAGCAAAAGUUCUGGUAAGGGAAGGGACAGUGUUCAACUUUGCCUCUCACAGGGAAGAAGGGUGGAAUAGGAUGUCAGCUUCCUGGAUCAGAAAAAAAGGUUGGGAACUACUAAAUUAGCUGAUUAACAUACAAAUGUGUGCUAUCAUAUUAA